GACGAACGCUGGCGGCGUGCUUAACACAUGCAAGUCGAACGAUGAAGCCUAGCUUGCUAGGUGGAUUAGUGGCGAACGGGUGAGUAAUACGUGAGUAACCUACCUUUAACUCUGGGAUAUGCCUGGUAAACUGGGUCUAAUACCGGAUACGACCAAUCUCCGCAUGGGGUGUUGGUGGAAAGCGUUAUGUAGUGGUUAUAGAUGGGCUCACGGCCUAUCAGCUUGUUGGUGAGGUAACGGCUCACAAAGGCGACGACGGGUAGCCGGACUGAGAGGGUGAACGGCCACAAGGGGACUGAGACACGGACCAGACACCAACGGGAGGCAGCAGUGGGGAAGAUUGCACAAUGGGAGCAAGCAUGAUGCAGAGACGCCGCGUGAGGGAUGACGGCCUUCGGGGUGUAAACCUAUGUUAGCAGGGAAGAAGAGAGAUUGACGGUACCUGCAGAGAAAGCGCCGGCUAACUACGUG
This 471-nucleotide ribosomal RNA is filed under the name uncultured bacterium. RNAcentral's name for it is "partial 16S ribosomal RNA". It matches the Rfam family "Bacterial small subunit ribosomal RNA", at positions 28 to 507 of the family's 1533-position model. The record is from RNAcentral.